UACGGAAGGGGCAAGCGUUGUUCGGAAUCAUUGGGCGUAAAGGGCGCGUAGGCGGCUUUGUAAGUUAGGGGUGAAAGCCCGGGGCUCAACUCCGGAAUUGCCUUUAAGACUGCAUCGCUAGAAUUGUGGAGAGGUAAGUGGAAUUCCGAGUGUAGAGGUGAAAUUCGUAGAUAUUCGGAAGAACACCAGUGGCGAAGGCGACUUACUGGACACAUAUUGACGCUGAGGUGCGAAAGCGUGGGGAGCAAACAGG
Molecule: ribosomal RNA, 253 nt
Filed under: uncultured bacterium
Lineage: Bacteria
Description: partial 16S ribosomal RNA
Rfam family: Bacterial small subunit ribosomal RNA
Source: RNAcentral